This 262-nucleotide ribosomal RNA is filed under the name uncultured bacterium. Its description in RNAcentral is "partial 16S ribosomal RNA". It matches the Rfam family "Bacterial small subunit ribosomal RNA", at positions 793 to 1055 of the family's 1533-position model. The record is from RNAcentral.
GUCCACGCCCUAAACGAUGUCAACUGGUUGUUGGGAGGGUUUCUUCUCAGUAACGUAGCUAACGCGUGAAGUUGACCGCCUGGGGAGUACGGCCGCAAGGUUGAAACUCAAAGGAAUUGACGGGACCCGCACAAGCGGUGGAUGAUGUGGUUUAAUUCGAUGCAACGCGAAAACCUUACCUACCCUUGACAUGUCAGAGAUCCCGAAGAGAUUUGGGAGUGCUCGAAAGAGAAUCUGAACACAGGUGCUGCAUGGCCGUCGU